UACGUAGGGGGCUAGCGUUGUCCGGAAUCAUUGGGCGUAAAGCGCACGUAGGCGGCUUUGUAAGUUAGAGGUGAAAGCCCGGAGCUCAACUCCGGAACUGCCUUUAAGACUGCAUCGCUUGAAUCCAGGAGAGGUGAGUGGAAUUUCCGGUGUAGCGGUGAAAUGCGUAGAUAUCGGAAGGAACAUCAGUGGCGAAAGCGACUUCCUGGACCAAUACUGACGCUCAUGUGCGAAAGCGUGGGGAGCAAACAGG
Molecule: ribosomal RNA, 253 nt
Filed under: uncultured bacterium
Lineage: Bacteria
Description: partial 16S ribosomal RNA
Rfam family: Bacterial small subunit ribosomal RNA
Source: RNAcentral